AUUGAACGCUGGCGGCAUGCCUUACACAUGCAAGUCGAACGGUAACAGGUCUUUGGCUGCUGACGAGUGGCGCACGGGUGAGUGAAACAUCUGGAAGUGUCCAGACGAGUGGGAUAUCGCGUCCAAAGAUUUGCUCUUACACCAUACGAUUUAUGGAUGAAAACAGGGGACAGCAUCGCCUCGCGCGCUUGGAGCUGACGAUGGUUGAUUAGGUAGUUGGGGGGAUAAAAGCUUACCAAGCCGACGAUCUGUAUCUGGUGUGAGAGGACGACCAGCCACACUGGGACUGAGACACGGUCCAGACUCCUACGGGAGGCAGCAGUGGGGAAUAUUGGACAAUGGGCGAAAGCCUGAUCCAGCAAUGCCGCGUGCAGGAUGAAGGCCUUCGGGUUGUAAACUGCUUUUGUACGGGACGAAGAGGCUCUGGCUAAUACCUGGGGCACAUGACGGUACCGUAAGAAUAAGCACCGGCUAACUACGUG
This 482-nucleotide ribosomal RNA is filed under the name uncultured bacterium. Its description in RNAcentral is "partial 16S ribosomal RNA". It matches the Rfam family "Bacterial small subunit ribosomal RNA", at positions 30 to 507 of the family's 1533-position model. The record is from RNAcentral.